AAUAUAAGGAAUGAAGCUAAAAGAUAGAGGAUUGAAGAGAGUAGCAAGGCUUCUACCGUCAUGGAGAACACCUGCGAUCUCUUUCAAACCAGACCCUAAACGCAGGGUAGAUAUGAAGACUUGAGAGUCUGAGAAUAUAUGAAAUCUAAGGAGGCUUAAUUCCUUAGCCUUGAGAAGAACUGAGCAAAUCAUCAAAGCUCCAACCAUGAGUGAAGAUCCCACCAACACUAGAGAAACAUCCUUUGCAUCUUGACAGUUCCAGACAAUUUCACAAAGGAAAGACAUUAAAGUCUCAAGGGUCAUCAUGGCCAAGAGGUCAGUAUCAAAGAUUGCUGAAAAAAGAGCUAGUGAGGUCAUAGUUUCUGCAUCUGAGAUUAUCUUCUUCAACACAAAGUCCCCUGUAACAACGCCACUCAAACCAACGAGAACAUCCUCAUAACGAGGUAGCAGAGUGCUAACAGGGAGUUCAUCAUCCUCAUACAGAGGUAAACUGGAUCUCAUCCAAAGAGUUAAAGAGAGAGUAACAUCCUCACACUGAGGUAAAUAGAGUUUCAACAGGCAGACAUCACAACGAACUUUCCUCAAAAACGAUUUGUUCCAAAGAGGUACAUAGACAAUACCUUCACAAGGCUUGUUGGAGAGGUACGAUGGUCUAGGAGAAGCAGCACUCCCAAUGGAAUUAAUCGCUAGAUCUGAGAGAGGAGACUUGAAAUCCCAAGCUUGGGUAAGUGCUCCGAGAGAGACGCUAUGGAAGUCGCUAGAGAACGAGGCCAAAGGCCGAAGACGAUGAACAAGGACGAAUAACGAGUCUGGAGGAUCUGGUGGUUCAGGUGGGAUGAUGGAAGUGAGAGUUUCAAACGCUACCGAAAGAAGCUUAGAUGGUGGGGGAUCGGGAGGAGGUCGGCACCGCGACGGAGGAGGGGCCUUCACCAUCAACACCAUGGAGGAGGAGGACAGAUUCUUCAGAAAAAGGAGGUCUUGGCGUCAGAUCUGGAACGGCGGAGCUCCAUGCCUAGGGAGUCGGGCCUGGGAGCUUUUCUCUGCUGAAACUUUUUAAAUACUCGUGAUAGUUAACAUACGAAUUCUGAUCCAAAACGAAUAUUUUAAGUGGAGGUGUACGAGUUGCCAAAUAAAACAAAAAUGUUCUGAUGGAGAAAGAAGGCACUAUACCAUAGUUGAUCUUGAGGGGGGAAAAAAAAAAAGAAAAUGAACAAGAAAAUGCAAAUGAAAUUUUGAUAUAAUUAUUUUCGGGUCUCUUUUCCUUAGCUUUAUAUGCAAGAAUAUGGAACUCAACGGAGGAGAGUAGUCUUUGGGUAUGUUCAGUCCACAUUCUCUUUUAUUUUGGAAUUUUUCGUUACUAUAAUCAAAUCCAAUAGAAUAUGUUUCGAAUUUUUGGUUACUGUAAUAAAAACAACAAUGGAAUAUAUUCACCAGACGAUCAUGAUCGAAGCAUGGCUCUUAUAUGUUUCUCUAUGUUUCCACUAUGAGCCACUCAUAUUCUCACUUUUCCACUCUUUUCAUCCACAGGAAUCCCCCACGCUAGCUAUUAUAAGGUCAUAUUCAUAGACUCGUACGUGGGGUUCCCUGGUCCAACGAAUCUCAACAAUGCCAACUCUUGUUAUGUGAAAAUUAGCUGAUCAAUAAAGUAACUCGCGAUAAAUAUAGUUUUAUGUUUAAACGAUGGCGCCAGUUUUUUUUUCACAACGGAUGCAUCGUGUGAUUCAUAAAAAGGAAAUUUAUCCAAAAUGUUUAAUAUUAUAUAAAUCUUGUAGUGGUAGAGAAUGAAGUCGGUGAUAUCCAUAGAAUGGGCUCCAACAGAAGCAAAGCCUGACCACCCAGUAGGUGAGUUACUUUUAACUGUAUUAAUGAUAUUACUAACACGAUGGAAAGACAAUUUAUAAUCUCUUACAGUGGUUUCAAAUAAAGUUACAAAAGUUCAGAAGUCAAAAAUUAAAUAUUUUGUUAAAAAUCAGAGGAAUAUUUUUUUUGUCAACUAUUUCUUUCAUUCAAAUAACUUAAAACACAAAGUUUUCAACAAUCAUACAUUCAAGGCUAGCCUUUGCCAAAGAAACAACCUGAACAUAAUCAAUAUAAGGAAUGAAGCUAAAAGAUAGAGGAUUGAAGAGAGUAGCAAGGCUUCUACCGUCAUGGAGAACACCUGCGAUCUCUUUCAAACCAGACCCUAAACGCAGGGUAGAUAUGAAGACUUGAGAGUCUGAGAAUAUAUGAAAUCUAAGGAGGCUUAAUUCCUUAGCCUUGAGAAGAACUGAGCAAAUCAUCAAAGCUCCAACCAUGAGUGAAGAUCCCACCAACACUAGAGAAACAUCCUUUGCAUCUUGACAGUUCCAGACAAUUUCACAAAGGAAAGACAUUAAAGUCUCAAGGGUCAUCAUGGCCAAGAGGUCAGUAUCAAAGAUUGCUGAAAAAAGAGCUAGUGAGGUCAUAGUUUCUGCAUCUGAGAUUAUCUUCUUCAACACAAAGUCCCCUGUAACAACGCCACUCAAACCAACGAGAACAUCCUCAUAACGAGGUAGCAGAGUGCUAACAGGGAGUUCAUCAUCCUCAUACAGAGGUAAACUGGAUCUCAUCCAAAGAGUUAAAGAGAGAGUAACAUCCUCACACUGAGGUAAAUAGAGUUUCAACAGGCAGACAUCACAACGAACUUUCCUCAAAAACGAUUUGUUCCAAAGAGGUACAUAGACAAUACCUUCACAAGGCUUGUUGGAGAGGUACGAUGGUCUAGGAGAAGCAGCACUCCCAAUGGAAUUAAUCGCUAGAUCUGAGAGAGGAGACUUGAAAUCCCAAGCUUGGGUAAGUGCUCCGAGAGAGACGCUAUGGAAGUCGCUAGAGAACGAGGCCAAAGGCCGAAGACGAUGAACAAGGACGAAUAACGAGUCUGGAGGAUCUGGUGGUUCAGGUGGGAUGAUGGAAGUGAGAGUUUCAAACGCUACCGAAAGAAGCUUAGAUGGUGGGGGAUCGGGAGGAGGUCGGCACCGCGACGGAGGAGGGGCCUUCACCAUCAACACCAUGGAGGAGGAGGACAGAUUCUUCAGAAAAAGGAGGUCUUGGCGUCAGAUCUGGAACGGCGGAGCUCCAUGCCUAGGGAGUCGGGCCUGGGAGCUUUUCUCUGCUGAAACUUUUUAAAUACUCGUGAUAGUUAAC
This 3162-nucleotide long non-coding RNA is filed under the name Brassica napus (rape). RNAcentral's name for it is "long non-coding RNA (BNAP_LNC006444)". Lineage: Eukaryota; Viridiplantae; Streptophyta; Magnoliopsida; Brassicales; Brassicaceae. The record is from RNAcentral.